AAAUUGAAGAGUUUGAUCAUGGCUCAGAUUGAACGCUGGCGGCAGGCCUAACACAUGCAAGUCGAACGGUAACAGGAAGCAGCUUGCUGCUUUGCUGACGAGUGGCGGACGGGUGAGUAAUGUCUGGGAAACUGCCUGAUGGAGGGGGAUAACUACUGGAAACGGUGGCUAAUACCGCAUAACGUCGCAAGACCAAAGAGGGGGACCUUCGGGCCUCUUGCCAUCAGAUGUGCCCAGAUGGGAUUAGCUAGUUGGUGAGGUAACGGCUCACCAAGGCGACGAUCCCUAGCUGGUCUGAGAGGAUGACCAGCCACACUGGAACUGAGACACGGUCCAGACUCCUACGGGAGGCAGCAGUGGGGAAUAUUGCACAAUGGGCGCAAGCCUGAUGCAGCCAUGCCGCGUGUAUGAAGAAGGCCUUCGGGUUGUAAAGUACUUUCAGCGGGGAGGAAGGUGUUGUGGUUAAUAACCGCAGCAAUUGACGUUACCCGCAGAAGAAGCACCGGCUAACUCCGUGCCAGCAGCCGCGGUAAUACGGAGGGUGCAAGCGUUAAUCGGAAUUACUGGGCGUAAAGCGCACGCAGGCGGUCUGUCAAGUCGGAUGUGAAAUCCCCGGGCUCAACCUGGGAACUGCAUUCGAAACUGGCAGGCUUGAGUCUUGUAGAGGGGGGUAGAAUUCCAGGUGUAGCGGUGAAAUGCGUAGAGAUCUGGAGGAAUACCGGUGGCGAAGGCGGCCCCCUGGACAAAGACUGACGCUCAGGUGCGAAAGCGUGGGGAGCAAACAGGAUUAGAUACCCUGGUAGUCCACGCCGUAAACGAUGUCUACUUGGAGGUUGUGCCCUUGAGGCGUGGCUUCCGGAGCUAACGCGUUAAGUAGACCGCCUGGGGAGUACGGCCGCAAGGUUAAAACUCAAAUGAAUUGACGGGGGCCCGCACAAGCGGUGGAGCAUGUGGUUUAAUUCGAUGCAACGCGAAGAACCUUACCUGGUCUUGACAUCCACAGAAGAAUCCAGAGAUGGAUUUGUGCCUUCGGGAACUGUGAGACAGGUGCUGCAUGGCUGUCGUCAGCUCGUGUUGUGAAAUGUUGGGUUAAGUCCCGCAACGAGCGCAACCCUUAUCCUUUGUUGCCAGCGGUCCGGCCGGGAACUCAAAGGAGACUGCCAGUGAUAA
Molecule: ribosomal RNA, 1170 nt
Filed under: Salmonella enterica
Lineage: Bacteria; Pseudomonadati; Pseudomonadota; Gammaproteobacteria; Enterobacterales; Enterobacteriaceae
Description: bacterial SSU rRNA
Rfam family: Bacterial small subunit ribosomal RNA
Source: RNAcentral